GACGAACGCUGGCGGCGUGCUUAACACAUGCGAGUCGAACGGAAAGGCCCUGCUUGCAGGGUACUCGAGUGGCGAACGGGUGAGUAACACGUGGGUGAUCUGCCCUGCACUUCGGGAUAAGCCUGGGAAACUGGGUCUAAUACCGGAUAGGAGCCAUUUUUAGUGUGAUGGUUGGAAAGUUUUUUCGGUGUAGGAUGAGCUCGCGGCCUAUCAGCUUGUUGGUGGGGUAAUGGCCUACCAAGGCGGCGACGGGUAGCCGGCCUGAGAGGGUGGACGGCCACAUUGGGACUGAGAUACGGCCCAGACUCCUACGGGAGGCAGCAGGGGGGAAUAUUGCACAAUGGGCGCAAGCCUGAUGCAGCGACGCCGCGUGGGGGAUGACGGCCUUCGGGUUGUAAACUCCUUUCGCUAGGGACGAAGCUUUUUGUGACGGUACCUAGAUAAGAAGCACCGGCUAACUACGCG
Molecule: ribosomal RNA, 465 nt
Filed under: uncultured bacterium
Lineage: Bacteria
Description: partial 16S ribosomal RNA
Rfam family: Bacterial small subunit ribosomal RNA
Source: RNAcentral